Molecule: unclassified non-coding RNA, 393 nt
Filed under: Hevea brasiliensis (rubber tree)
Lineage: Eukaryota; Viridiplantae; Streptophyta; Magnoliopsida; Malpighiales; Euphorbiaceae
Source: RNAcentral
AACAUGUGCAAGGUAUGUACUUUAUUUUAUUAUUAUUUUGCUUAAUUAUUGAAUCUCUCCUUAGAAUUCUUGAUAUUUAACUAAAAUACAAGGAGUUGGAUAUACAGGCAAGACCCUCUGGUGUAGAAUUAGGGUUCAGCCAAGUUUUAUGCUAAGAAAAAUUCAUUGCGCCCAGAAUAUAUGGUACAUAUAUGUGCAUGUGUUUCUCAUUUUAGCCUCUGAAUUUGACAUAAUUUUAGAAAAUUUUUUAUUCUUGUCAACUUGUGUUCCUAGUGACCCCAUCCUUUAUAGCAUAUGGUCCGUCAGUCCAUGUGUUUAUAUUAUAAUGUUGAGUUUAUAUCUUAAUUGGGAGAAUUAAAGUUCUAAUUUUUAUGCUUAUGCUUUCUGUUCAAU